Molecule: RNA transcript, 1496 nt
Organism: Rosa chinensis
Lineage: Eukaryota; Viridiplantae; Streptophyta; Magnoliopsida; Rosales; Rosaceae
Gene name: U-box domain-containing protein 35
Exons: 5
Source: RefSeq, a predicted model, not a curated record
GGGGAACGCGCGGUCAAACCAAAGCAGCUAGCUGCUACUUAUAUAUUAAUUCAAUAUCAAUAACUCUGGCGUCCGUGGUUCUUGUCCCUCGAUAUAUCAAUAUUCCAAACAAAGAAAUUAGCUAGAUAGCUUAUAUUGUUGAGACUUGACUUGAUUGUCAGGAACCAUCGGGUGAGUGAAAAAUUGAUAUGUCAGUGUGGUUGACGACGAAGGAGACCGGGGCGGCCUUGCCCUUGCACUCAGAAAUAGAUCAUGAUGAAAUUCAUCGGACGAGGAGCACUACUGGCCAUGAAGAAAGUGAAUACCGUCAGCCGCAGCAACAGUACCACCGUGAUGAAGAUGAGUACCAGCUGCAAGGCCAGUUUCAGCACGAGUGCAAUAUCUCAAGGAAUAGUGUAUGGGAGAUAGAAGAGGAAGAAGAAGAAGAUGAUGAUGAGGGUUUGAAUUAUUCAAUUGGAGGAUCAAAUACUAGUAUCCCAAUUGAGAUCAAAGAGCUUUUCGGGGCGAAGCGCUACUUUCCCAUGCCUUCCAUCAAGGAAGAACAAUAUGAUAUUAAUGGUCUGCCUCAUUCUUCUUCAUCGUCUGACAUUGUUGACUGCGUUUAUGUUGCCGUCGGAAAGAGCGAGUCAAGCAUGGACGCCUUAAACUACGCCGUCAAGCAGCUGCUGCUGUCAUCCAACACUAUCCUCUAUCUCAUACACAUUUUCCCAGAGAUCAAGUACAUCCCAAGUCCAUUAGGAAAACUUCCAAAAAAUCAAGUGAGCCCAGAACAAGUGGAAAGUUUCAUGGCCCAAGAAUCAGACAAGAGAAGACAGCUCCUUCAGAAGUAUAUUGAUAAAUGCUCGGCUGCAAGGGUUAAGAUGGAUACUCUGCUGAUUGAAAGUGAUAUGAUCGCCAAGGCUAUUGUGGACCUUAUCCCAAUUCUCAACAUCAGAAAACUGGUGCUUGGAACGAAAAAAUCUAAUUUGAGUAGGAAAUUGAUGUCCGGGAAGGGAGCAAGGGGAAUAGCUGAUCAAGUCCUUCAAAGUGCACCCCAAGGUUGUGAGAUUAAUAUCAUUUGUGAAGGAAAUCAAGUGAUGAUUAAUGACUCGCUUUCCCCACGUGGCAUUGCCAAUGAUCGCAUUGCACCAAAUACACUUUCCCCUAAAGGAGGAGGAGGCAAUGAUGAUAACCCUAACUCUAUCCUAGACCGCGAUCAGAGGAAUGAAGCCUGUUCAUUCCUGUGUUUUAAACCCAUGUUCUCCCAAUAGUCUGUUAUUAAUAUAAUAGUUAUUAUGUACACAUAUCAUCAAUAGCGGGGAUAGCUCAGUUGGGAGAGCGUCAGACUGAAGAUCUGAAGGUCAGGUGUUCGAUCCACCUUCACCGCAAAGGAUUUACAACCAAUGAAGAACAAACUCCUUCACCACAGAGCCUUAACACCUGAUCUGGUGCACAACUUGAAAAAAAGGGAAUGAACUGAUUCAUCAUGCCUACACUUCACAGAGAGUUCACGCAAU